Molecule: ribosomal RNA, 406 nt
Filed under: uncultured bacterium
Lineage: Bacteria
Description: partial 16S ribosomal RNA
Rfam family: Bacterial small subunit ribosomal RNA
Source: RNAcentral
AUUGAACGCUGGCGGCAGGCCUAACACAUGCAAGUCGAACGAGUGGCGGACGGGUGAGUAAUGUCUGGGAAACUGCCCGAUGGAGGGGGAUAACUACUGGAAACGGUAGCUAAUACCGCAUACCAUCGGAUGUGCCCAGAUGGGAUUAGCUAGUAGGUGGGGUAAAGGCUCACCUAGGCGACGAUCCCUAGCUGGUCUGAGAGGGUGACCAGCCACACUGGAAGUGAGACACGGUCAAGACUCGUACGUGAGGCAGCAGUGGGGAAGAUGGCAGAAUGGGCGCAAGCCUGAGGCAGCCAGGCCGGGUGAAUGAAGAAGGCCUUCGGGUUGUAAAGUACUUGCAGCGGGGAGGCGUUACCCGCAGAAGAAGCACCGGCUAACGACGUGCCAGCAGCCGCGGUAAUAC